Rattus norvegicus (Norway rat) is the source of this 1172-nucleotide long non-coding RNA. RefSeq lists it as uncharacterized. NCBI's taxonomy places the organism in Eukaryota, Metazoa, Chordata, Mammalia, Rodentia, Muridae. The record is from RefSeq and is a predicted model, not a curated record.
GUUGUUUACACAAGGAUGAAGGAAUUACCCAGUUUGUAGCUCUUGAGGAAGUAGAAUUGUGGAUUCCUUCACAUUCCCCAUUAUGUGCUGGGAAGUGAGGUCAUAGAGGCAAAAGAUGGACAGUAAAACAAAGAUUAAACCCCUUGCGUAUAGGGAUGAAUUUCAGGGCCAAUUGAAGAAUUAUAUGUCAGCUUAUUGUAGAACUUCCCGUUAAAUCUAUACUGAAUGAAUCCUCAAAAAGGCUUUGAGCUAGAUUGUAGGCAUAAAUUUUUUGCAACCUACUUUUAGUAAGGGUUCAAUCUCUCUUAUAGCCCACCACCCAGCAGAGAUACUGGAAAAGAAAAGUUAUUAGGAGGCGAGCAAAGUGGACCUGUUUGGCAAUGGUUCUUUGGGGGCAAUAUUGAUUUUUGGCCGCAGUUCAGUCCUGUAGCAAACACCAAAUAUGACUCAGCAGCUACAGGCCGGUCCUCUAGGCAAGCAGACUCCAUCUACAAACUGACAGCUACAGUUCAGUCCUUUAAGCAAGCAAACACCAGGCAGCUGUAGUUCAAUCCUGAAGAAAGCGCCAGGCUUACCAACUGGCCUAAGCCAAGGCCAUAAAAGCAGCAAGCUGCCACAGGAACCUCAGGAGCAGUUCUUGGAAUAAUGCCAGAGCAGUCUGACCCCCAAAGGACACAUUAGCACUUCGAGACCUAUUUCCUGUUCUUCUUUCCUCAUACUGCAGCAAACAUCCACUGGAACAUGAGACACUUAUUAUGGCCGCACCCUCAAAGAAGAAUAAUUGUCCUUCUCCCAGCAGCUGUCAACUGCCAAUUGUUCCUCAGGGAGAAAUGGGGCACGGAGAGCAUCUCUCCUUACAUGUUGGUGAUUUAACUGGCUUAGUGUUGUACAGGUCUUUUGCAGGUAAACAAAUCUACUAUGAAUUCUUGAAUAAAAUAUCGAUUAUGUUCAGAAGACAGUACUUCACUUCAUUCAUUUCUCCCCAUUCUUCAGUUUUGUUUAUUUUAAGUUAUUUUAUUAUUUAAAAAUUGUGUAUGUGGUGGUUUGAAUGAGAAGGCCCUAUAGGCUCAUGCUUGCUUCCUGCGUUAUUCCUGCUUAUUACACUCUUCAGGAAGAAUCACGGGAUGUGGUCGUACUAGAGGAGGUGUGCCGCCAGGCUCAUUUUGUUAACU